Molecule: ribosomal RNA, 204 nt
Filed under: uncultured bacterium
Lineage: Bacteria
Description: partial 16S ribosomal RNA
Rfam family: Bacterial small subunit ribosomal RNA
Source: RNAcentral
UUGCAGGCUGCAACUCGCCUGCAUGAAGUUGGAAUUGCUAGUAAUCGCGGAUCAGCAUGCCGCGGUGAAUACGUUCCCGGGCCUUGUACACACCGCCCGUCGCACCAUGGGAGUUUGUAACACCCGAAGUCAGUAUCCUAACCGCGAAGGGGGGAGCUGCCGAAGGUGGGAUAAGCGACUGGGGUGAAGUCGUAACAAGGUAUC